Molecule: unclassified non-coding RNA, 329 nt
Filed under: soil metagenome
Description: partial contains 5.8S ribosomal RNA, internal transcribed spacer 2, and large subunit ribosomal RNA
Rfam family: 5.8S ribosomal RNA (bases 1-120)
Source: RNAcentral
GAUGAAGAACGUAGCGAAAUGCGAUAAGUAAUGUGAAUUGCAGAAUUCAGUGAAUCAUCGUAUCUUUGAACGCACAUUGCGCCCUCUGGUAUUCCGGGGGGCAUGCCUGUUCGAGCGUCAUUAUAACCACUCAAGCUCUCGCUUGGUAUUGGGGUUCGCGGUUUCGCGGCCCUAAAAUCAGUGGCGGUGCCUGUCGGCUCUACGCGUAGUAAUACUCCUCGCGAUUGAGUCCGGUAGGUCUACUUGCCAGCAACCCCUAAUUUUUUUAAGGUUGACCUCGGAUCAGGUAGGGAUACCCGCUGAACUUAAGCCUAUCAAUAAGCGGAGGA